UGCAGGGUGCGCGACUGGCGAUAGGAGCCUGUUUUCAAAGGGAAACAGGGCACUCUGACGUGGAGCGUGGUGACCUGAGUCACUGCCGAACCACUGGGAAGCGCACAGCCUGACCCGUUGUCUUUCAGACCGGGCCAGGUUUUCAGCCGUUCGCCUGGGCAGCCCUU
RNAcentral lists this non-coding RNA (167 nucleotides) under Limnohabitans sp. 63ED37-2. RNAcentral's name for it is "ZMP/ZTP riboswitch aptamer (pfl RNA motif)". It matches the Rfam family "ZMP/ZTP riboswitch aptamer (pfl RNA motif)". From Rfam's summary of the family: Previously known as pfl RNA. Lineage: Bacteria; Pseudomonadati; Pseudomonadota; Betaproteobacteria; Burkholderiales; Comamonadaceae. The record is from Rfam by way of RNAcentral.